This 964-nucleotide long non-coding RNA is filed under the name Mytilus galloprovincialis (Mediterranean mussel). The record is from RNAcentral. Lineage: Eukaryota; Metazoa; Mollusca; Bivalvia; Mytilida; Mytilidae.
UGGUUGUAUAUUAUGCAUGACUUUUUAAUGAACUAUGUUACUAUGCUAAGGCUAUAAUUGGGGCAUCUGUUUCUGUGACUCCAAUAUGGCUUCUGAUAACACAGAAUUUAUUCGGGAAAAAAGGAAUCAAAAAUUUUGCAGACAAAUCUUUAUUUUAAUACAUAAGACAGAGUACAGAAAAGUAUAAAAGUAUUUUUUCAUGUCAUUACACUUUCCUCUAAGCUAAACAUAUAUGACAGAAUAGAAUAGAAUAGAAUAUUUUAUUUACCAAAUUAGGGCCCCAGGAGGGCAUAUGAUACAGACAAUAUUAUUAUAAACAAUAACAUAUGCAAUACACACACAGUAAAGAUAUGUAACAAGUGUUAUAAAAAUAAUAAAAUAAAAUAAUAUAACACAGAAAAUACACUCAACGAAAUAGUAGCAAUGUAUUAUUAUUCAAUGAAUACUAUGUUGAAAAUGACUCAAGUGCACCCGGUAAGUGUAUCUUCACUUUGAGAAGACAAACAUGAGGCAUUAGUAGUUUGUGCGGAGAAAUGUCAAUAUAUAAAAAUACAAAAAGAACCCAAUAAAAAACAAAGCAAUUAAGCACUCCCACAUUUGACUAUGAGGUAUACUGCAAAUAACAAAGUUUAUUUAAUAAAGGAUAUUUAAUAUGACUUAUCUGCAGAAAGCACCAAGAGUCGGUGCUUAAAGGGGAGUCCCUACUUGUACUUAAUGCAGAUGAGUCAAGCUCCUUAAUUAUUGAAAAUAUAUUUUUAAAACAUAUUUCUAAGAUUAUAGAUUCUGUGUCCAGCCAGCAAAGAUCAUCAAGGGACGGUGCCAAAGAAUUUGAAAUUCUUCUUAUGAUCUGUGCAGGCUUAACAGGGUAUCCAAAUUCAUAUUAAAGAGUUAUAAUGAAUUAGUUAUUGCAGAUUAAGUUGUACUUUAAUUCUUAAGUAUCUUCUAUAUAUUUGUAAAAUGCAAA